ACGGUGCCGGGGCUUCGCCCGUUUUUCUUCACGGGCGAAG
RNAcentral lists this transfer RNA (40 nucleotides) under Cnemaspis nigridia (Black-spotted rock gecko). Its description in RNAcentral is "partial tRNA-Cys". Lineage: Eukaryota; Metazoa; Chordata; Lepidosauria; Squamata; Gekkonidae. The record is from RNAcentral.